RNAcentral lists this long non-coding RNA (199 nucleotides) under Carica papaya (papaya). Its description in RNAcentral is "long non-coding RNA (CPAP_LNC006833)". Lineage: Eukaryota; Viridiplantae; Streptophyta; Magnoliopsida; Brassicales; Caricaceae. The record is from RNAcentral.
CCUCCAUCAAGGGAAUCUAAUAGUUGGCCAAUAUACAGUUUAUUUUGUCCAAUUGUUUAUGUUUGCCCCUCUAAUGGUCACUUCUGAAAGCUGAAAAGUUAGGAAGUUUCUACAAGGCCUUCGUGCUGACAUCUAUGAUUGGGUUGCGAUGCUAAGACCUAACUCACAUACGGAGGUGCUAGAACAUGCCCAGUUAGCG